GUGACAGAACCUGAGGAUACUUCUUGUGAGUCUUGGGUGUUUGUCGUGAAUGACCUUAUUGCAGGAUCAAGCCUUCUGAAAGCAGCAAGCCUUUCCUCGGUGGCAGGUGAUGAAGGACUUAUCAAGGACGACAGGUAGUGUAACGACUGUUUACUAGCAGCAGCGGCUAAUCCACUACUAACGGAAAUAUGACAGCUGUGAAUCCUUAUCACAACUGCCAUAUUGGGGGCAAUUGUUAGGGCAUGAAUUUUAUGCUAAGGAUCAUCUAUCCUGAGAUUGGGCAUGGAUCACGGAUUCU
This 298-nucleotide long non-coding RNA is filed under the name Helianthus annuus (common sunflower). Its description in RNAcentral is "hypothetical non coding rna". Lineage: Eukaryota; Viridiplantae; Streptophyta; Magnoliopsida; Asterales; Asteraceae. The record is from RNAcentral.